RNAcentral lists this non-coding RNA (305 nucleotides) under Skeletonema menzelii. The record is from RNAcentral. Lineage: Eukaryota; Bacillariophyta; Thalassiosirophyceae; Thalassiosirales; Thalassiosiraceae.
CCAAACGCUCCUUAACUACCUUGAUGGAAAAGUCUGAGAAGGGUGAACAGAUAUUUGAUACGGAAUGGACAGCAGGUAGAGUUGGUCGUCCCCCUGCUAUUAGUCCCGAUGAAAUUAAUGCAAUUGUGGAAAGGAUUCAACGUGAAGACCUGCGAGUACAUGAUAAUGAUGAUGUAAAUCAACUUUUGGUGGAUGCAUUGAGGAAGAAGGGUGUGGUUGAUCAGAAAAAGUUGACGUUUUGUAGUGCGACGAUUGCUGAUUAUUUUACGGUGUUGAAGAGCAAAUUGAGCCCUUUGUAUUGGAAG